RNAcentral lists this ribosomal RNA (369 nucleotides) under uncultured Glomus. RNAcentral describes it as "LSU rRNA". Lineage: Eukaryota; Fungi; Glomeromycota; Glomeromycetes; Glomerales; Glomeraceae. The record is from RNAcentral.
UUGAAAGGGAAACGAUUGAAGUCAGUCGUGCUGGCGCGAAAUCAACCCUCUCGUCGAGAGGUCACAUGGCGUGGCGAGCCUCAAAACCGUCACGAAGCGUGAACUCUUGGCGAAAAGGAGCACUUUCGUGUCCGCUGGUUAACAUCAAUUUCGAACGUCAUAAAAAGGCUGGAGGGAUGUGGCUCCUUCGGGAGUGUUAUAACCUUUAGCGGAAUGUGGUGGUCGGGAUUGAGGUUUGCAACGAAUACCUUUAGGGCUGUUCCACCUGGCUUCUCUUUGGUAUCCUGGUGAAGACAGCUUGCUGACUUUGUUAGGAUUCGCCUUUGAACAGGCUAGAGUGUGAGCAAAUUCGUUAAGGAUGUUGACGUA